GGACAAAGAUCAAAAAGUGAAAUAACAAAAGGCAAAGUUGGGAUUGUUGAAGAAACCUAAGAAGAGUAUGAUGAUGAGCACAGUAAUGAGCCAAUAAGGGAAAACGACGCUCAAGGCAACCCCAACAGUGAUGCCAAGCAUCAACAUAGGCUGGAAAAGAAGAGCCAAAUCGUAGUCAAUGAUUGGCACUUCCUUUGUGGGAUGCGGCACUCUAAGAUUAUACCAAACUGACGAUGCUGAUGCCCCCAUGAUCAUGCCUGCAGCCAAUUCUUAUAAUAAUCCCUUAAUUUCAUCCAAAUCCAAUCGAUAAUAUUUUGUUAAAUUUAAAUAUAUGACAUUUUAAUACUUAAAAGUUGCUAUUUAAAAUUCAAAGGUGUGUGAUUUUAAUUUUUAAAUUAGAGAUUAGAGAGACUGGAUUUCAAAAGUUCAAACGGCAGAGAGAUAAGGAACAGAAAAAAUACGAAAAGAAGUUACAUUUGGAAAUAGCAGCGGCAGAUUUGGUAUCAAAUCCAACAAUCAAGGUAAGCAUUGGAACAAAAAUGCCGCCGCCGCCAACGCCGCCCACCGUACCACAUGCUGAUCCUAGAAACCCUAUCACCGUCGCCAUUACAAGCCUCCAGUUCAAC
This 626-nucleotide long non-coding RNA is filed under the name Gossypium barbadense (sea-island cotton). RNAcentral's name for it is "long non-coding RNA (GBAR_LNC013519)". The record is from RNAcentral. Lineage: Eukaryota; Viridiplantae; Streptophyta; Magnoliopsida; Malvales; Malvaceae.